This 696-nucleotide ribosomal RNA is filed under the name uncultured euryarchaeote. RNAcentral's name for it is "bacterial SSU rRNA". It matches the Rfam family "Archaeal small subunit ribosomal RNA", at positions 455 to 1150 of the family's 1478-position model. Lineage: Archaea; Methanobacteriati; Methanobacteriota. The record is from RNAcentral.
GUGCCAGCCGCCGCGGUAACCCCAGCGCCACAAGUGGGAACCAUGAUUAUUGGGUCUAAAGCAUCCGUAGCCUGUCUGUUAAAUGCCCUGUGAAAUCGUUCUGCCUAACAGGACGGCGUGCAGGGUAGACUGAUAGACUAGGGACCAGGCGAGGUAAGCGGUAUUCCGGGGGGAGCGGUAAAAUGUGAUAAUCCUCGGAGGACCACCGAUGGCGAAGGCAGCUUACCAGAACGGAUCCGACGGUGAGGGAUGAAAGCUAGGGGAGCGAUCCGGAUUAGAUACCCGAGUAGUCCUAGCUGUAAACUCUGCGUGCCAGAUGUUGCGUAAUCUCCGAGAUUGCGCAGUGUCGUAACGAAGGUGUUAAGCACGCCACCUGGGAAGUACGGUCGCAAGGCUGAAACUUAAAGGAAUUGGCGGGGAGACACCACAACGGGUGCGGCGUGCGGUUUAAUCGUAUUCAACACCGAGAAUCUCACCAGGGGCGACGGCACAAUGACGCUCAGUCUGAAGGGCUUAGCUGAGGAGCCGAGAGGUGGUGCAUGGCCGCCGUCAGCUCGUGCCGUGAGGUGUCCUGUUAAGUCAGGCAACGAGCGAGACCUGUAUCCAUCGUUGCUAACGCGUUCGCAAGAAUGAGCGAGCACACUAUGGAGACUGCCUUGGAGACAAGGAGGAAGGUGCAGGCUACGGCAGGUCUGU